This 385-nucleotide ribosomal RNA is filed under the name uncultured bacterium. RNAcentral's name for it is "bacterial SSU rRNA". It matches the Rfam family "Bacterial small subunit ribosomal RNA", at positions 355 to 732 of the family's 1533-position model. The record is from RNAcentral.
UGGGGAAUAUUGGACAAUGGGGGAAACCCUGAUCCAGCAAUGCCGCGUGUGUGAAGAAGGCCUUAGGGUUGUAAAGCACUUUUGUUAGGGAGGAAGGUUUGGAGAAUAAUACACUCUGAAAUUGACGUUACCUAAAGAAUCAGCACCGGCUAACUCUGUGCCAGCAGCCGCGGUAAUACAGAGGGUGCAAGCGUUAAUCGGAAUUACUGGGCGUAAAGGGUCUGUAGGCGGAUUAUUAAGUCGGAUGUGAAAUCCCCGAGCUCAACUUGGGAACGGCAUUUGAUACUGGUAGUCUAGAGUAUGCAAGAGGAUGGGGGAAUUCCUGGUGUAGCAGUGAAAUGCGUAGAGAUCAGGAGGAACAUCAAUGGCGAAGGCACCUAUCUGG